CACAUCAAAAUAUAUAGAAUGACUAUUAAUCUUAUACUCCCCAAAGGGGCCCACGAAAAUAAUGAGGGACUUUCUCUUAGAUGGAUGAGUUUUCACUUUGCAAUUAAAAAAAGGUAAGGAGGCCCUUCAUCAUACUUUUAUUUAGGGGAAAAGGGGUGUCAUGAAAGAACUUAAGGCUAUUACUAAUUAAUAACACAAAAUUACAAAGCAGAAAAUAAAUCAAACUUUCAUUGACCAUGCAGAUUUCAAGCAGCUUCAUUGAUUAGACCUUAAUAAUGAUAAGAUUUCCUGGAAAUAGAUAAGAACCUUUAUAAUAGGUUUAGAUAUUUAUAUGUAUUAUUAUUACUUGCAUGAUUGUUUUUGAAACAGUAUAAAUUAAAUAUUUUAGCAAGUAGACUGUUAGUGAAAAUAAUACUACAUUUUGCAAUUAUUUAACCUCUAUUGCAGACUAUUAAAAAUAUGCCUUGUUUGCUAGCCUAAGAGAAAUUUUAUCAUAUAAGAUAAUUUAAUUCCAGAGAUUCUCUUUGUUCUAGAAUAAACAACUUUAUUACAAGAAGUCUCAAAUAUGCUGGACUAGAUUGGUGCCUCUAUAAUGGACUUGUUCGCUCUGUCUCUAUUUCAAAGCAAUUUUUAUAUUAAAUUUUAAUUAUUUGUUUAAAUGUGUCUCUUCCCCACCAAGUUAUUCAUUUUAUGAGGAUAGGCAGUGUACCUUUUUUUCUGAUCUUUUUGAUACUUAGCAUAUAGCAUGAUAUAUAUAUAUAUAUUUUUAUUAUUCAAAUGAAUUUAUCACAUCUGUAGUUGUAUAAUGGUCAUAACAAUCCAGUUUCACAGUAUUUCCAUCCCACAACCCAAGCAUAUCCCCACACCCCCCAAACUGUCUCCUCUGGAGAACAUAAGUUUUUUAAUGUCUGUGAGUCGGCAUCUGUUCUGCAAAGAAGUUCAGACAGUCCUUUUUUCAGAUUCCACAUGUCAGUGAAAGCAUUUGAUGUUGGUGCCUCAUUGUCUGACUGACUUCACUUAGCAUGAUAAUUUCUAGGUCCAUCCAUGUUGCUAAAAAUGCCAUUAUUUCAUUCCUUUUAAUGGUUGAGUAAUAUUCCAUCGUGUAUUGAAUAUAAUAGUAAUAUAAGGCAAAGGUUGAUAAAGUUUGACAUUAUAUAUAUAAAAAGUGGUAGAUGAGAACAAAUUUCUUAACCAUCUAAUCUGGGUGUGCAAAAAAGUAUGAAACUAAUAAUUACAAAUGUGAAAUUGCUGUAGUCUAUUUAAUUAAAAUAUUCUGUUCCUUGCAAUUUCUUAACAUUUCCUAGUUUCCUUUCAUUGUUAAUCUUCCUGUUCAAGUAUCAAUUCAAAUGUUAUAUCCUCAGAGAGGACAUCUCUGACUACUCUCUCUGUAUUUCAAUAUCCCAUUUAUUAUUUUACAGAUCUUAGCACAAAAAUAUAGUCAUCUUGUAUACUGGUUUACUAUUUCACUCUCAUUAAUUUAAAUUCAGUACAGGAAGACAUCUUGCCAAUUUUCACCAUUGUAUCCUCAACAUUUAGCAGAAUGCCUGACAGUUAAUGAAGGAAUGAAUGGAUGGAUGGAUGGGUAUGCAAAUACAUAUAUAUGUCACAUCAAGCUUAAUAAAACAAUGUAUAUGAUAACAUGGAAAAAGUAAGGAAAAUAAGAUGUAACUAUUGUAUUUGCCACAAAAUUAUUCCUGGUAUAUUUUCAAUUGUGAAUCCCUGAUCUUCUGCUUGAGUCCAAAAUUUGUCAAAUCCAUCUUUUGGUAAUGUAAGAUUAUAUACUAUUCUAAAGCUAGAUAUUUUAAAAAAUCAACCUCUAGUUUGAUACCUUAGGCUUUGGUGCUUUAAAGCCUACUCCUUGCUAUAAUACAGAAUUUAUCAUUUACUCUCUUACUUGUUUAGAAAUUAAACUAAGCAAACUUCCUUAGUCAGUUUCAAGAUGUAAGGAAUAUUAUUUAUAUAUAUGUAAGAACAUUUAACUUAGCAUUAGAGCUUAAGAUUUAUCAGAACAAUGUAUUAAAUCUGACAGUCAGUUACCCUAAAAUGGAUAACUGCUAUUUAUAAUGUUAAAAGCAGGCCAUCCAAAGAUGUGCAACCCUGGCAGGGGGAUUAUUUUCUAAAAACAAGCAAGGCCUCAAAGACACAGAAAGAAGCUUUGAACUUUUCCCUUAUGGCCUGGAAGAAUUUAAGCCAGGAAGCCUAUCCCAGAAAGAAAGUUAUCACCAUAGAUAACUAUGAUGAACUAUGAAUUAAGUGUGGUGGACAGGGAGGAUCCAAGAAAAGUCUAUUUGAUCAGUGUCCUCUCUGUGUCCUAAUGUCUUUGGUAUCCCAGCAAAUAUUUGAUUGCCAAACAUUCAUUAACUCUUUUUAUUUUCCUGUGAAUUACCUUACUUCCCCUUAAGCAUUUCUGCCUCAUUCUCCUUAGUCCAGAAUAUAUAUACACACACACACAGAGACAUAUACAUAUAUAGACAUAUAUAUAUACUUCAUGUGCAUAUAUAAUAAUAAAUUUAAUAAAUUUGAUUUUUCUCUUGUCAAUCUGACUUAUAUCAUUUCAAUUGCCAGGCAAAAGCACUAAGAGAAUAAAGAUGGUAAAUUCUCGCCCCAAUAUUAUUCUUUGAAACAAAUUUGCUGUAUUCUUACAUAGUCACAAGAUUUUUUAAAUAGGUAAAACAGCAUUUAUUUUAAAUAAUGAAUUUUUCCCAUGUGUGUAAUACUUUAUAUAACCACACUUAUUGUCAGGAUUCUGGCAAGAAAUAAAUGAGUAGUAUAAAGGUGUUUAAUAAAAAGGGGCCUCAUUUGAAAUGUGUGGACAAAGGGUUUAGAGAAGCAGAAAGUGGUAAUACAAGCUGACAUCAAAAGUCUUGGCCAUCACAGAGGUCAGCCUCCUAGGACAGAGCAAUGCAGAGAAGUACAGAAAAUGGAGUAGGAUGGAUAUAUGGACAAAUUGGGGCACAGCGUGAUAUAAUGCACAUGUAAAUGACUUCUGAGAAUGCUUGAUUUUGAUACCAAAGCUUUAUAAAUUUUGAGAAAAAUUUAGUAGUUUUACAGUUUCUCUCUCCUCCCCCACCCACACACACCUACACAUGGGAAAAUACAUUGUAUCUAAAAGGAAAAUUGAGUCAGGGCAUUCCUAUACACAUCUGCUUCUGCUUACAUCUUUAAUUUUUGAGCACAUUAAAUAUAAUAAUAUAAACUAAGCUCAAAAUCAUAUUGUCUGAAAUCUUGUAAUCAAAGAGAUAACUUAGAUUUGUCUUACAAAGAAAGAGAUAAAUGCUAAAAAGAAUUUGAGAGCUUUUCUACCUAAAAAUAAAUAUGACUUGAGAAGUCCUUCCUACAUAGUGAGUUCCUUGAUUCACUUUUUUCUUAGUAUGUUACAUGUGCAAUAUGAGUGUCAGGUAUGCAUUUGGGGAGUUUUAACCUAGAGGUACAGUAAAAGUAUAUAAGAGGAGUUAUAUAGAGUAUCUUAAGAUCACAGUGGUUUCAAAGUAAUUUUUAGCCCCUUAUAGCUAGGAGGUUACCACAUUUUGUCCCUCUUUGUAUAGGGCUGUCUGGCUGUUGAAGAUGCUUUCUACAUAAUGAAUCUUAUCAAGUUCAAAUCUGUGGAAUUCUCUCCAGCUUUUAAAUAAUUUUUCAUAUAAUGGGAUAAAAUGAGAGUAAUAAUAAUAAUGCACAUUUGACCAUCUUGAGUAAAAUGUGUGGGAGCACAGCCUUCAUAUAAUGGAAAAAUAGAGAAUAAGAUGAGCUCAAAUCAGCAAAACUCUGAGUGCAAAGGAAGUUACUCAAGUUUUCUUCUCUUUUCCUUCCUUCCUUCUUUUCUUCUUUCCUUGUUCCUUCCUUUCUUCUCUUUCCUUCCCUCCUCUCUCUCUCUCCCUCAUUCCUUCUCCCUUUCCUUCUUCUCAAACAGAAUAUCUUAUCUUUUCAAUAGACACUGCCCUGAAGGCCUCUAGGACAAUAAAAUAGAUUCACUUUGAAAUAUACAUCCUAAUGGAAUAUUUGACAUGGAAAUGCAAAUCAAGCCCACACCAGGUAUUUGGCCAUGAUAGAGAGUUCAGAUUAAUUAAUUUCAUUACAUAAAGCUAUUAAUCAGCACCUAUUUUAUAGUCACAUGUUAAAUAGUUAACACUUGUGAAAUGAGUCUAAUAUUUUUAAUAUUUCAACUGACAUAUUUUUACUUCUUCUUAAAUCAUCUUUUUACCAACCUCUAAGGUUGAACCACAAAACUUAUCCACAAGAAAGGGAAUAAGGGAGUAUGCGCCAUUAAGAAUAAAGAGGUCAAAUAAUAGCUUUGACUAAAAUUUACCUCCCCUCAUAAAACUGGGCAAAAAAAAAUAGCCUUUGUUAAGGGAGAGAAAAUAGAUUUCUCAGUUUCACUCACUUUUAACAAGUCAAGAACCAGGUAUGGUGAACUAACUAGAUUUACAAGAGCUUAGACAUUUCUUUCAUCAUGCACUGAAACUAUGCCUUCCACUACUAAUUAUGAACCAUGAAACUUGGUGGCUCCAGUGAAAAAGGAAGAAUAUGGAGUGAGAGGAAUCCUUACUUCAAAGGGAAAAUAUGGAGGGGAAGCCCACACUUUCCCUUUUGGAUGCCACAUGGAAGGAAAAGGAAGAAAAACAAAGGAGAGAAAGCUAACAAUGAGAUACUUAUGCCUUUGUCUCCUCUCUCUGCCCAUGAAGGACAUGGCUUAGGUUAGGGAGAAGUAAAAGGGAAAUUGAUCUUUUGUUAGACAUUGCCCUAUAGAGGACUUCCUAGUCCUGCUUAUGUUAAUCCAUACCCUAGAACCAACUUGGGCAUUCAGCAGAGGUCUGAAACAGAGUAAUAACUGCAUCAUAGCAUGGUUAGACAAGGAUUCUGAUUGGGUAUUCAUGGGACAUACUUGAUUUGUGGAAGGAUGAUAAGGGUUGGAGAAGACAGAGAUGAAGAGAUUCCCUCAUGCCUUCAAGGUGAGUCAGAGAAUUCAGCUGUUUGCUUCUCUGGUCUAUUGGGAAGGAAUUUACCCUAUAUCUAAGGCUAACCAGAGUUAAGGGUGUGGAAAAAAUUUAAAUUUUAUGGCAAGACAAGAAAAAGUUAAAUAUAAAUUCUUCUAGGCCCUUUGGCCUCUUCUCUCCCCCUAGCAUUCCAAGUUCCCAUUGUGGCUCAGCGGAAAUGAAUAUGACUAGCAUCCAUGAGGAUGCAGGUUCAAUCCCUGGCCUUGCUCAGUGGGUUAUGGGUCCAGAAUUUCCCUGAGCUAUGAUGUAGUUUACAGAUGUAGCUCAGAUCAGGCCUUGCUGUGGCUGUGGUAUAGGCCAGCAGCUGUAGCUCAGAUUUAACCCCUAUUCUGGGAACCUC
This 5331-nucleotide long non-coding RNA is filed under the name Sus scrofa (pig). Its description in RNAcentral is "lncRNA (ENSSSCG00030029864.1)". The record is from RNAcentral. Lineage: Eukaryota; Metazoa; Chordata; Mammalia; Artiodactyla; Suidae.